This is a long non-coding RNA of Xenopus laevis (African clawed frog), 4339 nucleotides long. RefSeq lists it as uncharacterized. The record is from RefSeq and is a predicted model, not a curated record. The transcript is spliced from 6 exons. Lineage: Eukaryota; Metazoa; Chordata; Amphibia; Anura; Pipidae.
UUUAUUCAUUGUUUGGGUUGAGAUGGAGGAAUGUGGAGGACGCCACUGUUCUGAUUGGCUCUUGCGGUUUUGGCUUGGGUAGGGUUUAGCACGCAGGGAAAAUGGAAACAAACUCACGUGCUGCAAUUCGCUGGCGCUUGGUAGAUGUGUGCGGCUGUAGCGUACGGGAAUUUUUCUCUGGUGGUUAAAGUUGGGAAAGUCGGCUCGUUGGGGGGGUUGCUGUUGUGUAGUGAGCAGGCCUGGUGUUGUGUAGUGAGCAGGCCUGGUGUUGUGGCGUGUCCUGAGGGAAACCUGUAACAAACGAGGAAAAGUUGUGGGAAACCCUAGAAACAGUAUUUCUGUCGGUUCCUAAAACAAACGCUGUGAAGGCAGAUGUUGUUGUCAGGGAGUUUUAGGCGCUGUACCACAAAACCGGAAGUGGCUGCGUUCUAUUGCUAUGGGGGGGGGGGAUUCUCUAGGUAAAGGAGAGAUAUUGUGCAUUCUCUCUAAGGGGUAUCACCCCGCCCUCUAUUUUGUUUGGUUACUUCCGCUAUCAGUUGUUUUUAUAAAUACCUUUCAGCGUUAGGUGUUUCUUCUUUAAUCCAGUGCCAGACUGUGGUGAUUUACAGCAAUUAAUGUUUGCCUUCAUGUUCUAAACCACUUGGAGAUUGACUAAAGCUUAAUGGUUGCUAUGGAAGCCCACACCGGUUAGCAAUUCAGGCCUUGACCUCGCAGUUCAGAAAGAUUCAAGAUUGACUUUUUGUGCUUCAUUAUGAAAGUGGAACCGUCAUUAACAAGAAAUCUUUCCCCAGCUGUUCUGGGUAACACUUCUUUGACUGUCAGGUGCCUUUUGUGUUUUACGUAAAUGGAGAUGAUACAGGGUACAUUCUGCAGGGAUCCCAGUCCAGAUACUUUGCCCAGGGGUUAAAGAGCUGCUACAGAGACUGUGAAAGACAAUGAGACCUUACCUCCCACAGUGACUCUUCCCAUCAGAGCCUCUUAUGCUAUCUGUAUGGGGGAGGAGAUGCCACAGUAGAAUCAGAGCAACCACCUCAUGAGAAAGGGGAGAAGAACAGAAGGCCAAAGAUGAAAGAAAGUAAAUCCGUGAGAAUUGGGCUCUUUUGCAACGACUCCGGGCAUGGCCCUGCAACUAGGUCUUUGCCCAGAAAAAUAAGAGCAUCCUGCUCAGAGCUGCAGAUUUUCCGGUCAUGUGAUCUCUGAGGGGGACACACAGACCAUCCUAAAUGUUGAUUCAAGAGACAUGGAUGUGUGCUUUGGAUUCGUAAUACACCCAGUCAAAGCCAGCUUCCACUGCCAGACGGGCCAACAUGCCAUAUUUGUUCCUGUCUCGGUCAGAUGUUGUAAUGUCCAACGCUCGCCCUUCAUAAUGCAAAGAGUCGUGAGCGUGGUGGCCGUCCUCAUCCCAGCCCUCGGUCACCCGCAGCUUCAAGCCUGGCCACAUGUUCAUCACAGAGAUAGCCAAGGCAUUGACUCUGUCUUUGCAGCGCUGAAACAAGAAGACAGUCAUUGUGAUGCGGAUGCUGACCCUCUGCCCCCAAUGGCAAGGCCCAUAAAAACAGAAAAGCAAAUCUCAGGAUUCAGAAACUGAGGAGACAUUCACUAUGAAGGAAAAAGGGACAUGUGAGAUAACAAAUGGAACCAGAAAACUAAUCCCGACAAUAACAAUUGUUCAGCGCUGUACUGAAUUAAAGUUUUAUCAUGUAAAAGUGCACCUUUAAGAAUGUUGAUGUAGGAAAAAGAUCUACAUGUAGAAUGGUCCUUGGACUUGUUGCCAAGCUCAAACAAUAACCAUUUUCCAUCCUCCAAAUGACUUAACAUGGUGAGAAUUUGCCAGCACAGAGUUCAGAAGCAACAUAGCAGCAAACUCUCUAGCCUGCCCACAAUGGAGCUUUUCAGAGACGUCACUGCUGUUAGGAAUGGGCGCAAACAAGAAAAGGGCAACGUGGGACUGGAGAGAUUUCUGUGCCCUAUGUGCAUCCUCUCCCGUUACUCCCCAACAGGCACAAAUGAUUCCUUGUGGGAUAAUCUCUGUCACUAACCUGAACUUCCUCACCCUGGGAAAAUGCAUCAUCAUCGUUAAUACCCACAACACUACAUUCUACUCAGCAACUCAGAGCAUACUGUAUCUACAUGUAACUUUGCAGUGUCUGGAUUGCACCAGAGUAUCUGACAAGAAAACAGGCCUGGGAUUCAAAAUAAGCCCAGGUUUUUUAUGUACACAGAGUUUCAGACAGCCCCCACCUGCCCACUAAAUAGUGACUGUCUAUGGCAUCUUAAAGCAGCCCCUCUGGUAUUUGCCAGAAUCCACCGAUUGCCAGUCCUGAAAGCACAUGAUAUGUUGCCAGCGCUGCACUGCCCAUUUCAUCAUAGCAAAUAAAGAGUUAUAAUAAGCAGCACUCUCUUUUUGGCCUAAAACGACCUUUAUUUUGCAAACAGAUAAUUUUGCAGGAACAAUUCAAACCCAAUGUACCAUUAUGUCAAAACCAAACCCUAGAUCCAUAACUCGUAUGCAAGCACCAACAAUGUUGCAAAAAGUAAAGGGACGAACAACUUCAUAUUGAUACCCUUGAUUUGGGAAUAAGAAAUUAAAAAGGCUUUUUGUAAUAUAGUCUCUUCAUACACAGGGUAUUUUUCAUCAGGGUGGCAUAUACAGUGAAUGCCUAUAUUAACUCUUAUGUCAUUUAUUGACAAGGGUUGCUACCUUUUUGCCUUUCCACCACUGUUAACCUCUCAGGUUGCAGUAGAAACAGCAGAGACGCAGUGACUGUGGAAGCUUCACUUUGUAGCUCCCAAAAAGAAAAGCACAAGGAAGACACCCUGCCCUGAAGAGCUCAUAAUCUUAUUAUAUCUGAGGAUCAAACAAAUCCUUUCCUAUAACUAAAAGUUUCUGUUGUGUUGUCUUUUCCUGUUUGUUUUCCCAAGCUGCGCUAUUAUGGCUCUGAACUUCUUCCUGAUCUAUUUGGCUGUUAAGGCCAUUUUAGUGGCUACUGUUUAAAGUCUGUACAGAGAAUAGAAUUCUAAAGGUGAGAUCUCACCUGUCACCUAUAAAAUGGCAAUAUAACCUGCCUCUUUCUGCUGGUAAUACAACUUCCUAUACAACAUGGUGUUAUGUUUGCUUUUCCCAUGGGUUUACAACACUGCUUGCUUGCUUUCAAUUCAGCCACAAUUGUGACUCCUACUUCUGCUCUGCUAUUGUUGACUGAAAAUUACCAUUCAAUCUGUAUUCUUCAUGUGGAUUCCAGUGCCAAUAUGCAUCACUUUGCACUUAUUAUUGGCAUAAAUUCAGGUAUCUGUACUAUCUAGUCCAUUCCUACUCUUAGUACUUCAUUGAUGCUGGGCUUUACAGUAAUCUCAGUGGUUGCAGGAAAAGUCCUGCCCGAGCCAUAUAAUAGCAAGCAAUUGUUAGUCAGUUAGUGGUAUGCACAGACUAACCUUCAUCUGAAAUUAAACAAUUAUCUUCAGUCCUCUACUUUUGAGCAGUUUUCUGUCAAAAGUCUGCAUUCAUAGUCCAGUAUUUAGUCAGGGCCCUAUUAUCUUGAAACAAGGUUACAAAUAUGCAAUAUUAAUAAUAUUGAUAUUAUUUUGACAGGCCCCACACUUUAGGAAUCCAUGUUGGGCCUCCUAAGUGAGCCAACCAGUUGAGUAACCUAUGUUUUCUGGAUAAUGUACCUUAAUUACAUUAUGGUUCUGCACUGCUGCAAGGGGGAAAAACCCUAUAGGGGAUGUAAAAAAAAAUCUAAGGGUGCCUAAAUGUUUUUUGCUGCCCUAUUCAUUACUGAAGCUAAUGCACAAUAACUCAUAAUACUAACAAAAAUUCCUAAAAACACUGUUCCAGUUGAUCAGUAAACGCCCAGAUUAGUUAGACAUGACUUUAUAGCAAGAAAUCCAUCCUGCUCUCAAUCCUUUACAGGUUUGGAAUCUAUUAUCUAGAAAGUGGUUAUCCAAAAACAAGACUCUGAUUAGUUCUUUCUCUGUACUAAGGGUAGGGCCACAUGAUGUGGUUCUCAGCCUAGGAUCCGCUCCUCCAUUGCUCCUCUGUUAAUUGUUGUGCUUGCACCAGGGAACAUUACCACUAGGGUGUAGGUGACAAAAUGCUAGAUUUAGCAUUUUGCACCAAAAUCUUCACCCAAGCAGAGGUAAAGUUUAUGGGUGCAGGCACAAUGAUCAACAGAGGGACAGUUUCUAAGCUUGCAUUUCUCCUCCAUGUUUUUUUGCACUUGGCACCCGCCCCAUAUGCAGAUGAAUGAUUUCUGCUACAUUGUUUUAAUUAGUACCAUUGCAAAAAUUGUACAGUAUUUAAAGGGGAACUCCGAAAGAGGCCCACAUAACACAGAACCCC